Molecule: non-coding RNA, 369 nt
Organism: Pelobates cultripes (western spadefoot toad)
Lineage: Eukaryota; Metazoa; Chordata; Amphibia; Anura; Pelobatidae
Source: the annotation of a GenBank genome assembly
CCUUCACUCAGCCACUCUGGAGCCAUAAAAACAUAGACAUCCAGUCCCCCAGUAACGAAUCAUAGCUGAUUUAUUUUCGACUACACACGGCUUUUGUGCACAGACGCCUACAUGUAGUCUCCAAUACAAUAACACAGGGGUGUCAAUCCCAAGAUCCUCUGUGAGAGAUAAUUGCGUGCAAAAACCCUAUAAUUCAAUUUUACCACAUGACAGGAGGCUUCGUAUUUCGCAUAUCUCUCGUUACUAACUCCAUACAGCAGUAAAGAAACACAUAGAAAAAAGAACCAAUCACAGGAGAGCAGGAUGUACAUAAGGCAAUGUGACCUCAUCAUUUCCUCUUUCUUUAUUGCUCCAUCAAGCAGACAGGAC